CCUGCUGAUGUCCCAGAGCAGAAAUAGCCUGUUUCAUCAUCGGCUCUGGACAACCACAGCCUGCAUUCCUCGAGUAAGGAGCUAUACUGUGCCAUGCUUUUGGAGCAAGAUAAUUUGCCAGCCACAGGCUGGGGAAGGCUGAUCUUUUCAAGGAGAGAGGUGCAGAAGGAUGUGAAAUAAUCAGGGAAGAUUCGAGGCUGGCAGUAUCUGGUGGGCAGAGACAAGAAGCUACACCGCUCAGCCACCUCGAAGGGGGCAACUCACCUGACGUGUGCUCUGCCAGGUUGGCUGUUUUGCAUCUGAUGUUCUUCAACUGAGAAUUUCAACUGAGCACGCGCUUGUUGGAUCACAAUCUCAUGAGACUACUUCGGCUAUGGUGGCAGGAGAUCUGCAGUGAUUGGCAGCCUUAGGACUUUGUGCCGAGGAAUUGGUGAGAAGCUGCGUGCCUCUUUGCUACUGAACACUACACAGCUAUGGGAAGAGACAGUUGUAGGGGGAAGCAAAAGAAGGUGAGGAACCUAUCACUCUGGGACAUAGAAGAAGGAAGAUAGUUCAUGUGUGGGGUAGGUGUAUGCAAGGUAGGUAUAAACCUUCUGCUCAGUUUUCCUACAAGCAUAAAACUAGUUCAUGUGUGGGAUAGGUGUAUGCA
Long non-coding RNA from Rattus norvegicus (Norway rat), 649 nucleotides. RefSeq lists it as uncharacterized. NCBI's taxonomy places the organism in Eukaryota, Metazoa, Chordata, Mammalia, Rodentia, Muridae. The record is from RefSeq and is a predicted model, not a curated record.